Molecule: long non-coding RNA, 15410 nt
Filed under: Betta splendens (Siamese fighting fish)
Lineage: Eukaryota; Metazoa; Chordata; Actinopteri; Anabantiformes; Osphronemidae
Description: lncRNA (ENSBSLG00000007140.1)
Source: RNAcentral
GACUUUGGCCUUCCAUGGUGUAAUUUAGGUUUUUGUACACAACUGAAGAUAAAAUAAACUGAGUUCUGUAGGUAUACCAGGUUUAAAUUCGUUGUAAGGACACAUGGCGGAGUCAAGAAACAAAAGAAAGAAGACAACUUCACAGCACGACGACCCAAACUGAACCCAACUUGGCAGAAGAAAACGUCAAGCAACAAUAUCGUGAGGUGACACUAAGCAAAAAAAUGAAACUCUAUACCUUAGGAUAAGACAGAACAUCAAAAAGAGGACAUCAACAGGCCGACAGCUGAAAAAACAUGAGCAGGAUUUAUUGAUAAAAAACUGACAAAUAGAGUAUAUUACUGACAAACAUCAGGAAACAGACGGCUGACAUGCAGAGUCAGAAGACGGCUAUUGAAAAGCAAAGAGAAGAGUUGGACAACCUGCUCAACAUGAUCAAGAAAGAAGUGAGAGAGUUGGAAGUAAUAAAUACUGAGACUGAGAUAAAGAAAAAACACCUGGUGAAAAUAAUAAGAAUGAGCAGAAGAAAAGAGAUGAAGACAAAUACUAAGGCUGCUAAGCAAAGUAUGGAAGAGGGAACAGAGCAGAAACCAGAGGUGGAAAUACAGGGCAGGAUUAAUAGGCAAAGGCCAAGUCAUGGGGAGUUUCACGGAACCAAAGAAAUAACUCAACCUAUCUCAGCAGAAGACAAUAUAGAGAUGCAGAGAAUGAUUUUGGAAAUAGAAGAGAUCAGAAGGAUGCUGCACAAGUUUAAAGAAGAUACAACUCUAAGCACUAGAAAGGAGACAACACAAAUGAAAUGGCUGAAUUUUCAUUUUAAAAAAGGGAAACAGAAGUUGGAGCAGUUCAUGGAGAAGACUACAAAAGAGAGAGAUGAGCUAGAAAUCAUAAAGAAAAGAACACAACAACAAAGGAAGGAGCUUGAACAGAAAUUGGAAGAUACUUUUAAAAGAAUUCUGACUAUAAGUGAGUUAACACAAAUGAGAAAGUUUGCUACAGAGAUAAACAACACCCGAGAAGAACUCCUAAAAACAAAAAAUGAAACACAAAACUACAAGGAAGAAGUCAAAAAAUACACAGACAAGCUGACAUCCAUGAAAACGCAGGUCAGCAGAUGGAUAUUGACAGAAUCUGCAAACAAGCCACUCUGUUUUUACCUGCAGAAACCAUCAAAAGAGAAAGACAUAAACUCUCUCAUAGUGGAAGACCAAUAUCAAAGUGAAGAAACAAUAGAAGAAUGGAACACGCAAUCAAACUACAAGCAAGAUUUUGGAGUGGACUUUAAGGAAGAGCAGAAUUUGUUUUUACAAAUGCACAAAGACAUUCACGAAGAAUCACUGAUAGAUGAUAAAGUAAUAAUGCAUAAAACAGAAAAGGAACAAGUUAAAAAUCAACUCCUAAAAUUCAAGAACCAAAAGGAGGAAAUCAAAAAGGAAAUUAAGAACAGUAUGAAAAGCAUGAAGGGGAAACAUCAAGAAAUUGAUCAGCUCAUUAAAGAAAUAAAAGACUUUCAGAGACCAGAGAUAGAAACUGGGUUACAAACUGCAGGUAGGGAAAUAAAUAAUAUCGGCAUAGGGAAAGCUAGACUAAGAGGAAAAAUAGACAGUGACAUUUGGAGAGUAAAAAACAAUAUUUAUAAAGAACAAAUUAAAUAUGAACUCCAAAUGCAAGAAAGGGAUAAUGACAGUAAGGUGAAACAAGAAAAGAAACAUGAUUCUGAAUUGAUGACAGUGGAUGAUUAUAAAAAAAUAAUUCUUGAAUCAAAGGAGUUCCAUCCUGAGGUGACAGAUGGUUAUUCCAACAAAAAAGACACAGGAAUGGACACAGCUAGUCUACAAACACUCAGGACAGAAGUUUAUAAAACACAAAAAAUCAUGAGAUCUGUAAUUCUAAAACUUGACACCCAAAAAAGUGAAAAUGUUGGAAAAGAUUAUAAUCAACCUCAAGAUGGUGAAAUUGAGGGAUUGUUAGAGGAUGUUAAAAAGUUCCAAGAUAUUUUAAAAAUGGUGACAACUGAAGUGGUAAAAAAUGAGAUCUCUUUGAGAAACGAAAGGAGCAACAUAAAAUUUGAAGCAAAAAGACUCAAAAGAGACCUGGCUCAGAAGUUGGAGAAAAUUCUGUGUGAAAAAGAUGAAUUAGAUAUUUUUAAAAUGCAAAUAAAGAAACGAGCAGAAGCAAUUCAACAGAAGAUGGAGAAAAUGAACAAGGUUAAGAGUGCUGUGGAGGAAAUGGCUGUUAAGUCUAAAAUUAAGCAGGAAGACAUGAAGAUUAUUUUUAGGAAUACCCAAGAAAAGCUGAGACACUUAGAGGGGUGUAAUGAAAAGACUGAUGAUGCAAUACAACACCUACAAAACAGUUUUAUUUUAAUAACUAAAAGAAAAGUUCAAUUAGAAGAAACCUUAAGACUCAAAAAACAACAGGUCCAGGUGGAGGUAUACAAAGUAAAAAGUUUGAGGAACAAUAUCAAAAGUGAGACUAAGAAGCCUGGUGACAGAGUACAACCAAUAAAAAGAAAAAUAGGUCCAGAAAUAGACCUGUUGAAAUCAGAGUUUGGAAUAAAGAGACAAAAAUGCGGAAAGACAAAAGAAAAGAAAUUACUCAGGAAAGUGACCAGAAGGAAAAGAGGAUUAGAUUCAACCUUGAGACAACCAGGUAAAUUAGAACAACUAAAACCUGAGGAUCAGUGUAUUAAACAUCAAAUGAGUGAUAUCCAAUUAUUCAAACAGCAUACAUGGCUGGAAAAGCGUCAGAUAAUAAAGAUGAAUACAACUCCUGAUGAUUCAAAAGUUAUAUCUUCUGUUUUUGACCUUGAAAUCAUUAGACAAAAAAUUCAUUCAAAUUUGGAGGUAAUAAAAAAGAACACUGGACUACUAGCUGAUGUAAAUAUCCAUUUAGAAAAACAAAGAGAAUGUCUCCAAAACUUAAAAGAUCACAGUAAGGCCAUAAUAAAAUGCAUGAUAAGGAACAAAGAAACUGUUAGGGUCAAAGCAGAAAAGAAUGAGGAAGACAACCGCCAAAAAGAAAAACAAAAACUUGAAAACACACUUGAGGCAAUACGAAGAGAAAAAAAAGAGAUGGAAGUGCUGAAGGCUGAGCUGGACUUCACAAAAAAAGAAAAUCAACAAAUGAUGAGACGAGGUAUUCGAAAAGACCAUGAGGUGAAAAUGAUGUGGGCUGAGAUUAAAGAAGAAAAAGAUGCUCGCAAGAGAAAACAAAGAAGAAACAAAGAGCUUGAUGAAAAGCUAGAGAGGAUGACCAAAAAAAAAGAAGAACUGAAAAUCAUGAAGCUUAAAAUGGAAAGAGGAAAAGAUGACACAACAGGUGGAACAAGACUGUCAAGGAUAUCAAUCACUGCAAAUGUUCCAAUGCAACUUUCAUGUACGUGGGUACUUUUUUCUAAAUGGACAGAAAAGUGUAACCAAAUGAAAAGACAGAUUUCUGAUUUCUACAAGACCAAAAAUAAUGAAAAUGCUUGCAUUAAACAUGAAACAAAAAUAACAUUGCAGGCAAAAGAAGACAUUAAAAACAUCAAGGAACAAAUUACCAAACAAAAAGAAUGUAUUCAAGGUGCUUUAAAAAGUGUGAAAAAAAGGGAACAAUGUUUGAUACAUUCAGAAACAGAAAAACUGCUAAGAAACAAAAACCUUCUAGAGGUUCUAAAAGAAAAACUUCAGCAUUUGAGUGAAAGGAUGACUGGUGCCAUUGCAGACAAACUUAGGAGGCUACAAAAGGACAAUGGAAAUGUAGUGAAGCUGGUCAGUCAUUUAGAACAAGAGCAUAUCUCUCUAGAUUCCCUGAAAACACAUAUGCUUUUCUACUCUGAAAUACUGCAGAAGGCAAAAGAAGGAUACAUAUGCCUGAUAACAGACUUUGCCAGGCAACAAGAAGAAACAAGAGAUCAACUGAUGCACCAGCUUGUAUUGGAAAAGCAAGAAAGGGAAACUCUGAAAAACUGGCUGAAGAAAGACAGAGACAAUCUGGAAAGAGAGAAAAAUGGCAUGAAUCAAGAAAAAGAAAACUUGUUGCAGAAACAACAAGAGUGUGAAACCCUAAAAGACGAGCUGAAGAAAGACAGAGACAAUCUGGAAAGGGAAAAAAAUAGCAUCCAUCUAGAAAAAAGGAACUUGAUGCAGAAACAACAAGUGUAUAAAACCCUGAAAGAUGAGCUGAAAAAAGACAGAGACAGUCUGGAAAGAGAGAAAAAUAGCAUACAUCAAGAAAAAGAGAACUUGUUGCAGAAACAACAAGAGUAUGAAACCCUAAAAGACGAGCUGAAGAAAGACAAAGGGAAUGUGGAAAGAGAUAAAAAUGGCAUGAAUCAGGUAAAAGAUUACUUGACGCAGACAAUGUUUGACAUCCAGCAGCAAAUGCAAGUUUUGGAGCAAAAGUUAAGACAUAAAAAGGACAGUCUGCAAAUCACAGCAAGUCGACUAGAAAAGACAAGAACACAUGCUGACAUCCUGUGUGUUGAGGUUAACAAAGACAAAGCAAAAAAUCUGUCCCUUCAGCUUCACAAAAACAGAGACCUACUUGAGAGAGCAAAGAACACAAUUGUCAUAAAGCAAAAAGAACAACAACUGAUGGAAGAGGACAUCAAGAGACAAAUCAAAGAACUACAGUCAAGCCGGUAUGACUUGCAGAGCCAAAGACAAGAACUGGGACUUUUAAGGCAAGAUCUCAACAAUGAGAUAGAAGAGGACAUCAAGAGACAAAUCAAAGAACUACAGUCAAGCCGGUAUGACUUGCAGAGCCAAAGACAAGAACUGGGACUUUUAAGGCAAGAUCUCAACAAUGAGAUAGAAGAGGUCCGGGUCGCAAAGGAGACCAUGAAGGUAAAAAGAGACCAAAUAGGUCAUAUGCAGACUGUUCCUGACACAGAGAGAGAAAUACUUUGGAACCAGAAAGAUACAAUGGAAAAACAAAGAUUGACUCUACAUAGAAAAGCUGAUCAAAUGACAGAAUCUGAAAAGCAUCUAGGGGAUCUAAGAGAAAAAAUUAAGCAUGUGAGUGAGAGAAUGACUGGUGAUAUUGCAGAUAAACUUAGCAGGCUCCAACAGGACAAUGGAAAAGUAGUGAAGCUGGUCAGUCGUUUGGAACAAGAGCAUAUCUCUCUAGAUUCCCUGAAAACACAUAUGCUUUUCUACUCUGAAAUACUGCAGAAGGCAAAGGAAGGAUACAUAUGCCUGAUAACAGACUUUGCCAGGCAACAAGAAGAAAUAAGAGAUCAACUGAUGCACCAGCUUGUAUUGGAAAAGCAAGAAAGGGAAACUCUGAAAAACUGGCUGAAGAAAGACAGAGACAAUCUGGAAAGAGAGAAAAAUGGCAUGAAUCAAGUAAAAGAAAACUUGUUGCAGAAACAACAAGAGUGUGAAACCCUAAAAGACGAGCUGAAGAAAGACAGAGACAAUCUGGAAAGGGAGAAAAAUAGCAUUCAUCUAGAAACAAGGAACUUGAUGCAGAAACAACAAGAGUAUGAAACCCUAAAAGACGAGCUGAAAAAAGACAGAGACAGUCUGGAAAGAGAGAAAAAUGGCAUGAAUCAAACGAAAGAGGACUUGAUGCAGAAACAACAAGAAUAUGAAAUCCUGAAAGACGAGCUGAAGAAAGACAAAGGGAAUGUGGAAAGAGAUAAAAAUGGCAUGAAUCAAGUAAAAGAUUACUUGAAGCAGAAAAUGUCCGACAUCCAGCAGCAAAUGCAAGUGUUGGAGCAAAAGUUAAGAGAUGAAAAGGAUAGUCUGCGAAUCACAGCAAGUCGACUAGAAAAGACAAGAACACAUGCUGACAUCCUGUUUGUUGAGGUUAACAAAGAUAAAGCAAAACAUCUGUCCCUUCAGCGUCACACAACCAGAGACCUACUUGAGAGAGCAAAGAACACAAUUGUCAUAAAGCAAAAAGAACAACAACUGAUGGAAGAGGACAUCAAGAGACAAAUCAAAGAACUACAGUCAAGCCGGUAUGACUUGCAGAGCCAAAGACAAGAACUGGGACUUUUAAGGCAAGAUCUCAACAAUGAGAUAGAAGAGGUCCGGGUCGCAAAGGAGACCAUGAAGGUAAAAAGAGACCAAAUAGGUCAUAUGCAGACUGUUCCUGACACAGAGAGAGAAAUACUUUGGAACCAGAAAGAUACAAUGGAAAAACAAAGAUUGACUCUACAUAGAAAAGCUGAUCAAAUGACAGAAUCUGAAAAGCAUCUAGGGGAUCUAAGAGAAAAAAUUAAGCAUGUGAGUGAGAGAAUGACUGGUGAUAUUGCAGAUAAACUUAGCAGGCUCCAACAGGACAAUGGAAAAGUAGUGAAGCUGGUCAGUCGUUUGGAACAAGAGCAUAUCUCUCUAGAUUCCCUGAAAACACAUAUGCUUUUCUACUCUGAAAUACUGCAGAAGGCAAAGGAAGGAUACAUAUGCCUGAUAACAGACUUUGCCAGGCAACAAGAAGAAAUAAGAGAUCAACUGAUGCACCAGCUUGUAUUGGAAAAGCAAGAAAGGGAAACUCUGAAAAACUGGCUGAAGAAAGACAGAGACAAUCUGGAAAGAGAGAAAAAUGGCAUGAAUCAAGUAAAAGAAAACUUGUUGCAGAAACAACAAGAGUGUGAAACCCUAAAAGACGAGCUGAAGAAAGACAGAGACAAUCUGGAAAGGGAGAAAAAUAGCAUCCAUCUAGAAAAAAGGAACUUGAUGCAGAAACAACAAGAGUAUGAAACCCUAAAAGACGAGCUGAAAAAAGACAGAGACAGUCUGGAAAGAGAGAAAAAUGGCAUGAAUCAAACGAAAGAGGACUUGAUGCAGAAACAACAAGAAUAUGAAAUCCUGAAAGACGAGCUGAAGAAAGACAAAGGGAAUGUGGAAAGAGAUAAAAAUGGCAUGAAUCAAGUAAAAGAUUACUUGAAGCAGAAAAUGUCCGACAUCCAGCAGCAAAUGCAAGUGUUGGAGCAAAAGUUAAGAGAUGAAAAGGAUAGUCUGCGAAUCACAGCAAGUCGACUAGAAAAGACAAGAACACAUGCUGACAUCCUGUCUGUUGAGGUUAACAAAGAUAAAGCAAAACAUCUGUCCCUUCAGCGUCACACAACCAGAGACCUACUUGAGAGAGCAAAGAACACAAUUGUCAUAAAGCAAAAAGAACAACAACUGAUGGAAGAGGACAUCAAGAGACAAAUCAAAGAACUACAGUCAAGCCGGUAUGACUUGCAGAGCCAAAGACAAGAACUGGGACUUUUAAUGCAAGAUCUCAACACUGAGAUAGAAGAGGACAUCAAGAGACAAAUCAAAGAACUACAGUCAAGCCGGUAUGACUUGCAGAGCCAAAGACAAGAACUGGGACUUUUAAUGCAAGAUCUCAACACUGAGAUAGAAGAGGUCCGGGUCGCAAAGGAGACCAUGAAGGUAAAAAGAGACCAAAUAGGUCAUAUGCAGACUGUUCCUGACACAGAGAGAGAAAUACUUUGGAACCAGAAAGAUACAAUGGAAAAACAAAGAUUGACUCUACAUAGAAAAGCUGAUCAAAUGACAGAAUCUGAAAAGCAUCUAGGGGAUCUGAGAGAAAAAAUUAAGCAUGUGAGUGAGAGAAUGACUGGUGAUAUUGCAGAUAAACUUAGCAGGCUCCAACAGGACAAUGGAAAAGUAGUGAAGCUGGUCAGUCGUUUGGAACAAGAGCAUAUCUCUCUAGAUUCCCUGAAAACACAUAUGCUUUUCUACUCUGAAAUACUGCAGAAGGCAAAGGAAGGAUACAUAUGCCUGAUAACAGACUUUGCCAGGCAACAAGAAGAAAUAAGAGAUCAACUGAUGCACCAGCUUGUAUUGGAAAAGCAAGAAAGGGAAACUCUGAAAAACUGGCUGAAGAAAGACAGAGACAAUCUGGAAAGAGAGAAAAAUGGCAUGAAUCAAGAAAAAGAAAACUUGUUGCAGAAACAACAAGAGUGUGAAACCCUAAAAGACGAGCUGAAGAAAGACAGAGACAAUCUGGAAAGGGAGAAAAAUAGCAUCCAUCUAGAAAAAAGGAACUUGAUGCAGAAACAACAAGAGUAUGAAACCCUAAAAGACGAGCUGAAGAAAGACAAAGGGAAUGUGGAAAGAGAUAAAAAUGGCAUGAAUCAAGUAAAAGAUUACUUGACGCAGAAAAUGUCCGACAUCCAGCAGCAAAUGCAAGUGUUGAAGCAAAGGUUAAGAGAUGAAAAGGACAGUCUGCAAAUCACAGCAAGUCGACUAGAAAAGACAAGAACACAUGCUGACAUCCUGUGUGUUGAGGUUAACAAAGACAAAGCAAAAAAUCUGUCCCUUCAGCUUCACAAAACCAGAGACCUACUUGAGAAAGCUAAGAACACAAUUGUCAUAAAGCAAAAAGAACAACAACUGAUGGAAGAGGACAUCAAGAGACAAAUCAAAGAACUACAGUCAAGCCGGUAUGACUUGCAGAGACAAAGACAAGAACUGGGACUUUUAAGGCAAGAUCUCAACAAUGAGAUAGAAGAGGUCCGGGCUGCAAAGGAGACCAUGAAGGUGAAAAGUGAUCAAAUAAGUCACAUGCAGACUGUCCUUGACACAGAGAGAGAAAUGCUUUGGAACCAGAAAGAUACAAUGGAAGAACAAAUAUUGAAUCUACAUAGGAGAGCUGAUCAAAUUAUGGAAUGUGAAAAGCAUCUACGGGUUCUGAAUGAAAAAAUUAAGCAUUUGAGUGAGAGGAUGACUGGUGCCAUUGCAGAUAAACUUAGCAGGCUCCAAAACGACAAUGGAAAUGUAGUGAAGAUGGUCAGUCAUUUGCAACAAGAGCAUAUCUCUCUAGAUUCCCUGAAAACACAUAUGCUUUUCUACUCUGAAAUACUGCAGAAGGCAAAGGAAGGAUACAUAUGCCUGAUAACAGACUUUGCCAGGCAACAAGAAGAAAUAAGAGAUCAACUGAUGCACCAGCUUGUAUUGGAAAAGCAAGAAAGGGAAACUCUGAAAAACUGGCUGAAGAAAGACAGAGACAAUCUGGAAAGAGAGAAAAAUGGCAUGAAUCAAGAAAAAGAAAACUUGUUGCAGAAACAACAAGAGUGUGAAACCCUAAAAGACGAGCUGAAGAAAGACAGAGACAAUCUGGAAAGGGAGAAAAAUAGCAUCCAUCUAGAAAGAAGGAACUUGAUGCAGAAACAACAAGAGUAUGAAACCCUAAAAGACGAGCUGAAAAAAGACAGAGACAGUCUGGAAAGAGAGAGAAAUGGCAUGAAUCAAAUGAAAGAGGGCUUGAUGCAGAAACAACAAGAAUAUGAAAUCCUGAAAGACGAGCUGAAGAAAGACAAAGGGAAUGUGGAAAGAGAUAAAAAUGGCAUGAAUCAAGUAAAAGAUUACUUGAAGCAGAAAAUGUCCGACAUCCAGCAGCAAAUGCAAGUGUUGGAGCAAAAGUUAAGAGAUGAAAAGGAUAGUCUGCGAAUCACAGCAAGUCGACUAGAAAAGACAAGAACACAUGCUGACAUCCUGUUUGUUGAGGUUAACAAAGAUAAAGCAAAACAUCUGUCCCUUCAGCUUCACACAACCAGAGACCUACUUGAGAGAGCAAAGAACACAAUUGUCAUAAAGCAAAAAGAACAACAACUGAUGGAAGAGGACAUCAAGAGACAAAUCAAAGAACUGCAGUCAAGCCGGUAUGACUUGCAGAGCCAAAGACAAGAACUGGGACUUUUAAGGCAAGAUCUCAACAAUGAGAUAGAAGAGGUCCGGGCUGCAAAGGAGACCAUGAAGGUGAAAAGUGAUCAAAUAAGUCACAUGCAGACUGUCCUUGACACAGAGAGAGAAAUGCUUUGGAACCAGAAAGAUACAAUGGAAGAACAAAUAUUGAAUCUACAUAGGAGAGCUGAUCAAAUUAUGGAAUGCGAAAAGCAUCUACGGGUUCUGAGUGAAAAAAUUAAGCAUGUGAGUGAGAGGAUGACUGGUGCCAUUGCAGAUAAACUUAGCAGGCUCCAAAGCGACAAUGGAAAUGUAGUGAAGAUGGUCAGUCAUUUGGAACAAGAGCAUAUCUCUCUAGAUUCCCUGAAAACACAUAUGCUUUUCUACUCUGAAAUACUGCAGAAGGCAAAGGAAGGAUACAUAUGCCUGAUAACAGACUUUGCCAGGCAACAAGAAGAAAUAAGAGAUCAACUGAUGCACCAGCUUGUAUUGGAAAAGCAAGAAAGGGAAACUCUGAAAAACUGGCUGAAGAAAGACAGAGACAAUCUGGAAAGAGAGAAAAAUGGCAUGAAUCAAGAAAAAGAAAACCUGUUGCAGAAACGACAAGAGUGUGAAACCCUAAAAGACGAGCUGAAGAAAGACAGAGACAAUCUGGAAAGGGAGAAAAAUAGCAUCCAUCUAGAAAAAAGGAACUUGAUGCAGAAACAACAAGAGUAUGAAACCCUAAAAGACGAGCUGAAAAAAGACAGAGACAGUCUGGAAAGAGAGAGAAAUGGCAUGAAUCAAAUGAAAGAGGGCUUGAUGCAGAAACAACAAGAAUAUGAAAUCCUGAAAGACGAGCUGAAGAAAGACAAAGGGAAUGUGGAAAGAGAUAAAAAUGGCAUGAAUCAAGUAAAAGAUUACUUGAAGCAGAAAAUGUCCGACAUCCAGCAGCAAAUGCAAGUGUUGGAGCAAAAGUUAAGAGAUGAAAAGGAUAGUCUGCGAAUCACAGCAAGUCGACUAGAAAAGACAAGAACACAUGCUGACAUCCUGUUUGUUGAGGUUAACAAAGAUAAAGCAAAACAUCUGUCCCUUCAGCUUCACACAACCAGAGACCUACUUGAGAGAGCAAAGAACACAAUUGUCAUAAAGCAAAAAGAACAACAACUGAUGGAAGAGGACAUCAAGAGACAAAUCAAAGAACUGCAGUCAAGCCGGUAUGACUUGCAGAGCCAAAGACAAGAACUGGGACUUUUAAGGCAAGAUCUCAACAAUGAGAUAGAAGAGGUCCGGGCUGCAAAGGAGACCAUGAAGGUGAAAAGUGAUCAAAUAAGUCACAUGCAGACUGUCCUUGACACAGAGAGAGAAAUGCUUUGGAACCAGAAAGAUACAAUGGAAGAACAAAUAUUGAAUCUACAUAGGAGAGCUGAUCAAAUUAUGGAAUGCGAAAAGCAUCUACGGGUUCUGAGUGAAAAAAUUAAGCAUGUGAGUGAGAGGAUGACUGGUGCCAUUGCAGAUAAACUUAGCAGGCUCCAAAGCGACAAUGGAAAUGUAGUGAAGAUGGUCAGUCAUUUGGAACAAGAGCAUAUCUCUCUAGAUUCCCUGAAAACACAUAUGCUUUUCUACUCUGAAAUACUGCAGAAGGCAAAGGAAGGAUACAUAUGCCUGAUAACAGACUUUGCCAGGCAACAAGAAGAAAUAAGAGAUCAACUGAUGCACCAGCUUGUAUUGGAAAAGCAAGAAAGGGAAACUCUGAAAAACUGGCUGAAGAAAGACAGAGACAAUCUGGAAAGAGAGAAAAAUGGCAUGAAUCAAGAAAAAGAAAACUUGUUGCAGAAACAACAAGAGUGUGAAACCCUAAAAGACGAGCUGAAGAAAGACAGAGACAAUCUGGAAAGGGAGAAAAAUAGCAUCCAUCUAGAAAAAAGGAACUUGAUGCAGAAACAACAAGAGUAUGAAACCCUAAAAGACGAGCUGAAAAAAGACAGAGACAGUCUGGAAAGAGAGAGAAAUGGCAUGAAUCAAAUGAAAGAGGGCUUGAUGCAGAAACAACAAGAAUAUGAAAUCCUGAAAGACGAGCUGAAGAAAGACAAAGGGAAUGUGGAAAGAGAUAAAAAUGGCAUGAAUCAAGUAAAAGAUUACUUGAAGCAGAAAAUGUCCGACAUCCAGCAGCAAAUGCAAGUGUUGGAGCAAAAGUUAAGAGAUGAAAAGGAUAGUCUGCGAAUCACAGCAAGUCGACUAGAAAAGACAAGAACACAUGCUGACAUCCUGUUUGUUGAGGUUAACAAAGAUAAAGCAAAACAUCUGUCCCUUCAGCUUCACACAACCAGAGACCUACUUGAGAGAGCAAAGAACACAAUUGUCAUAAAGCAAAAAGAACAACAACUGAUGGAAGAGGACAUCAAGAGACAAAUCAAAGAACUGCAGUCAAGCCGGUAUGACUUGCAGAGCCAAAGACAAGAACUGGGACUUUUAAGGCAAGAUCUCAACAAUGAGAUAGAAGAGGUCCGGGCUGCAAAGGAGACCAUGAAGGUGAAAAGUGAUCAAAUAAGUCACAUGCAGACUGUCCUUGACACAGAGAGAGAAAUGCUUUGGAACCAGAAAGAUACAAUGGAAGAACAAAUAUUAAAUCUACAUAGGAGAGCUGAUCAAAUUAUGGAAUGCGAAAAGCAUCUACGGGUUCUGAGUGAAAAAAUUAAGCAUGUGAGUGAGAGGAUGACUGGUGCCAUUGCAGAUAAACUUAGCAGGCUCCAAAGCGACAAUGGAAAUGUAGUGAAGAUGGUCAGUCAUUUGGAACAAGAGCAUAUCUCUCUAGAUUCCCUGAAAACACAUAUGCUUUUCUACUCUGAAAUACUGCAGAAGGCAAAGGAAGGAUACAUAUGCCUGAUAACAGACUUUGCCAGGCAACAAGAAGAAAUAAGAGAUCAACUGAUGCACCAGCUUGUAUUGGAAAAGCAAGAAAGGGAAACUCUGAAAAACUGGCUGAAGAAAGACAGAGACAAUCUGGAAAGAGAGAAAAAUGGCAUGAAUCAAGAAAAAGAAAACUUGUUGCAGAAACAACAAAAGUGUGAAACCCUAAAAGACGAGCUGAAGAAAGACAGAGACAAUCUGGAAAGGGAGAAAAAUAGCAUCCAUCUAGAAAAAAGGAACUUGAUGCAGAAACAACAAGAGUAUGAAACCCUAAAAGACGAGCUGAAGAAAGACAGAGACAAUCUGGAAAGGGAGAAAAAUAGCAUCCAUCUAGAAAAAAGGAACUUGAUGCAGAAACAACAAGAGUAUGAAACCCUAAAAGACGAGCUGAAAAAAGACAGAGACAGUCUGGAAAGACAGAAAAAUGGCAUGAAUCAAAUGAAAGAGGACUUGAUGCAGAAACAACAAGAAUAUGAAAUCCUGAAAGACGAGCUGAAGAAAGACAAAGGGAAUGUGGAAAGAGAUAAAAAUGGCAUGAAUCAAGUAAAAGAUUACUUGACGCAGAAAAUGUCCGACAUCCAGCAGCAAAUGCAAGUGUUGAAGCAAAGGUUAAAAUAUGAAAAGGACAGUCUGCAAAUCACAGCAAGUCGACUAGAAAAGACAAGAACACAUGCUGACAUCCUGUGUGUUGAGGUAAACAAACACAAAGCAAAAAAUCUGUCCCUUCAGCUUCACAAAACCAGAGACCUACUUGAGAAAGCUAAGAACACAAUUGUCAUAAAGCAAAAAGAACAACAACUGAUGGAAGAGGACAUCAAGAGACAAAUCAAAGAACUACAGUCAAGCCGGUAUGACUUGCAGAGCCAAAGACAAGAACUGGGACUUUUAAGGCAAGAUCUCAACAAUGAGAUAGAAGAGGUCCGGGCUGCAAAGGAGACCAUGAAGGUGAAAAGUGAUCAAAUAAGUCACAUGCAGACUGUCCUUGACACAGAGAGAGAAAUGCUUUGGAACCAGAAAGAUACAAUGGAAGAACAAAUAUUAAAUCUACAUAGGAGAGCUGAUCAAAUUAUGGAAUGCGAAAAGCAUCUACGGGUUCUGAGUGAAAAAAUUAAGCAUGUGAGUGAGAGGAUGACUGGUGCCAUUGCAGAUAAACUUAGCAGGCUCCAAAGCGACAAUGGAAAUGUAGUGAAGAUGGUCAGUCAUUUGGAACAAGAGCAUAUCUCUCUAGAUUCCCUGAAAACACAUAUGCUUUUCUACUCUGAAAUACUGCAGAAGGCAAAGGAAGGAUACAUAUGCCUGAUAACAGACUUUGCCAGGCAACAAGAAGAAAUAAGAGAUCAACUGAUGCACCAGCUUGUAUUGGAAAAGCAAGAAAGGGAAACUCUGAAAAACUGGCUGAAGAAAGACAGAGACAAUCUGGAAAGAGAGAAAAAUGGCAUGAAUCAAGAAAAAGAAAACUUGUUGCAGAAACAACAAGAGUGUGAAACCCUAAAAGACGAGCUGAAGAAAGACAGAGACAAUCUGGAAAGGGAGAAAAAUAGCAUCCAUCUAGAAAAAAGGAACUUGAUGCAGAAACAACAAGAGUAUGAAACCCUAAAAGACGAGCUGAAGAAAGACAGAGACAAUCUGGAAAGGGAGAAAAAUAGCAUCCAUCUAGAAAAAAGGAACUUGAUGCAGAAACAACAAGAGUAUGAAACCCUAAAAGACGAGCUGAAAAAAGACAGAGACAGUCUGGAAAGACAGAAAAAUGGCAUGAAUCAAAUGAAAGAGGACUUGAUGCAGAAACAACAAGAAUAUGAAAUCCUGAAAGACGAGCUGAAGAAAGACAAAGGGAAUGUGGAAAGAGAUAAAAAUGGCAUGAAUCAAGUAAAAGAUUACUUGACGCAGAAAAUGUCCGACAUCCAGCAGCAAAUGCAAGUGUUGAAGCAAAGGUUAAGAUAUGAAAAGGACAGUCUGCAAAUCACAGCAAGUCGACUAGAAAAGACAAGAACACAUGCUGACAUCCUGUGUGUUGAGGUUAACAAAGAUAAAGCAAAACAUCUGUCCCUUCAGCUUCACACAACCAGAGACCUACUUGAGAGAGCAAAUAACACAAUUGUCAUAAAGCAAAAAGAACAACAACUGAUGGAAGAGGACAUCAAGAGACAAAUCAAAGAACUACAGUCAAGCCGGUAUGACUUGCAGAGCCAAAGACAAGAACUGGGACUUUUAAGGCAAGAUCUCAACAAUGAGAUAGAAGAGGUCCGGGCUGCAAAGGAGACCAUGAAGGUGAAAAGUGAUCAAAUAAGUCACAUGCAGACUGUCCUUGACACAGAGAGAGAAAUGCUUUGGAACCAGAAAGAUACAAUGGAAGAACAAAUAUUGAAUCUACAUAGGAGAGCUGAUCAAAUUAUGGAAUGCGAAAAGCAUCUACGGGUUCUGAGUGAAAAAAUUAAGUAUGUGAGUGAGAGGAUGACUGGUGCCAUUGCAGAUAAACUUAGCAGGCUCCAAAGCGACAAUGGAAAUGUAGUGAAGAUGGUCAGUCAUUUGGAACAAGAGCAUAUCUCUCUAGAUUCCCUGAAAACACAUAUGCUUUUCUACUCUGAAAUACUGCAAAAGGCAAAGGAAGGAUACAUAUGCCUGAUAACAGACUUUGCCAGGCAACAAGAAGAAAUAAGAGAUCAACUGAUGCACCAGCUUGUAUUGGAAAAGCAAGAAAGGGAAACUCUGAAAAACUGGCUGAAGAAAGACAGAGACAAUCUGGAAAGAGAGAAAAAUGGCAUGAAUCAAGAAAAAGAAAACUUGUUGCAGAAACAACAAGAGUGUGAAACCCUAAAAGACGAGCUGAAGAAAGACAGAGACAAUCUGGAAAGGGAGAAAAAUAGCAUCCAUCUAGAAAAAGGAACUUGA